Neltuma alba is the source of this 157-nucleotide long non-coding RNA. RefSeq lists it as uncharacterized. The transcript has 2 exons. The record is from RefSeq and is a predicted model, not a curated record. NCBI's taxonomy places the organism in Eukaryota, Viridiplantae, Streptophyta, Magnoliopsida, Fabales, Fabaceae.
UAAUAAUGAUUGAAGGCAUAGUUGACAUAUGGUUAUUUUUCUAAGAGUUAAAGUAAGCACUUUUUGGAGGUUUUUAGAUGAUUUGAAAGGAUUAUUCUUAUUAAUAAUGUGAAUGAGAGAAAUAGAGUUGAGAAGCACUAGAAAUUGUCACUUGGAA